Molecule: long non-coding RNA, 3333 nt
Organism: Takifugu rubripes (torafugu)
Lineage: Eukaryota; Metazoa; Chordata; Actinopteri; Tetraodontiformes; Tetraodontidae
Source: Ensembl
AUGGAAGGGAAGCUCAGCCCCGCCGCUCUCCGUGCGCUGCGCAGAGACGCCAAACUGUCGGCGCACUCGCUCUCCGGUGCCUUCACUCCUUCUGACGCUCCUGCGCCAACUCUACGCGCUGACACCCCGAGUCCUCACGCAGAACCGGAUCCAAUGCCCGAAACAAAGCCAGGACCGGGUGAGGGUGUCUGCCAGAGGGGAUGCGGACUCUCGCUGUCCGGGGACGCGGAGCACUGCUGCGUGGACGCGCUGCGCUCCGUCACCGACGCGCUGGAGGGAAGAAGCGCGGGUUUGGAGCACCAAGUCCGGAUGGCGAGGCUCAGGUGGAACAGGCGGGAGCAGUGGCUGCUGGCCCGGGUCACGGCUCUGCAGAACGAGGCCCAGCUCGCUGCUCUGCAGUACCAGCAGAGGCUGCACCAGUACAUGGUCCACAUCGGCAGCAUAGCAGAGCAGGUCAACAGGUACUGCCAGGACGGAUCCAGGUUGGCCUCAGGAUCGGACGAGACGUCGGACGGGGGGGCACGUGCUGGGCAGCAGGAGCAGCUCUCCUCACCUCAGGUAGGAGAGGCCCCCUCAGGGGUCUGAUUGGGACCCUGUGUAGCUCUGCUGGUGUCAGGCUGGGAGGAAACUCCCCACAUGCCCCGUCGUGUGUGUGUGUGUGGGGGGGGGGGCUUGUUUGGUGAGUGUGUGUUGUUGGCAGUUCCUGGAGAUCAUGAUUGAAGCUGCUGAUGGUGUUUGAUAUCAAACUCCCUGUUUCUGGUGCUCCUACGCCGCUCCGCAAUCGACCCCACCUUUUCAGCAGGUGAUGCAGUCGACCCCCCCCCCCCCCCCCCCCGUCUGAAAGUAAAAGCCCCCCCCUCUUGUAUUAAGAACCCAAAAUGUUAAUCGCCGCCUGUUUGCUUUUGCGACUUGGGAUAAUUAGAACGUGAAGUGCUGAGCUGAGUGAUGCAACAAUGGCUGUUUGUUUUAAAAAAGCCCCCCCCCCCAGUUAACCUGAAGGUUUACGGGUCGGGUUCAGGUGGGUUCUGAAGGUUUACGGGUCGAGUUCAGGUGGGUUCUGAAGGUUUACGGGUCGAGUUCAGGUGGGUUCUGAAGGUUUACGGGUCGAGUUCAGGUGGGUUCGCUGGCAGGAACGCUCGCGCCGAGUGUCUGUGAUCAGUCUGAUUAGCGUGGGAACGCUCUGUGCAGCGGCAGCAGACAGACCAGCGGCUAUUUUCAGACUCGUUUAUUAUUUUUACUCUAGAAUCUCCAGAAUCCGACGGACGGGUCAGAACAUUGGCUGAUAUAAUAAAUCUGUCCCCUCCCAGUCAGCACUGGGAAGAGGCCUCACUGGUUUAAAUGGGUGUCAGCUGGAUUUUAGACUCACACGUGAGCACUCAAACAGAAUUCUGGGAUUAUUGGUGGGAAUCUGGGAAUGGCUCAUUAUCAUAUGGAUUUGUUUCCUUUAUCUUCGCUUAUGUUGGUGUGAACGGGAGCGACUGUAGAAUCCUGACGCCGGUGGUUGGACCUCCGGCUGGUCGGAGGCGUUAUCUGUGUUUGGCGUAACGAUCCGGCGGCGUCCAUUUUGAUUUCGACACGAUCGAGGCGGCAGCAGAAUCUCGCCGAUGCUCGUGAGCUGGAGCUCCAGUCGGGGACCGUGCACAAGCGUCAUCUGAUGUUUCUCCACAGAAAUAUUUAAACCUUUGAUGCUGUGAAACAGGGGAGGGUCCGGAUCCGGUCCUCGUGGACCACAAUCCGACCGGGGUUUCUGUCCUACCAGGCGACUAAGGGAAGUGGGAUCCCAGGUGGAAGCGCUGGUAACCGGGUAGGACGGAGAUCCCGGCUGGACUGUUGUCCUCGAGGACUGGAUCCGGACACCCCUGUUUCACAGCAUCGGUCACGCAGAGCGUGCGUCGACUGGGACCCACUCAUCUGGACGCAGACUGGAUGAAAGGAUGAAAGGAUGAAAGGAUGAAUGCUGUCAGAUCACCCGCAGCUACAGACACACGCAGCCGUCCUGAUUCUGCCUGUGCAAAUUGCUGUUGAGCUUGUUUGAAACCAGAUGAAUACGCAGUUAAACCACAGCUGAGGUAAAACAGUCCUCCCCCCCACCCUUUCCCCCCCAGCAACCAACAUGCUCCACAUCCAAACUCGGCUAAAAAAUUUCGGAACGCCGCGGUGCUAACGUCACCUUGCAGCGGAUGGUUAUUUUCAUUAGCGCCGCAUCACAGUGACAUCAUCAAGAGUCGAUCAAGGUCUCGUGAAAGAAUUCAGAGAAGAAGAAGAAAAUAAAAUCGGCGCGGUCUCAAGGAUCCGUCUCAUCAAAUUACAAUCCGGGCCCGGGGAGCAGCGGAAGCCGGCGUGCUUCCAUAACAGAAGAGGAGACGCUUCCAUGACAACAGGAAGAUUGAUGACCUGCUUCUUUUCCAGAUUCUUUUUUCCCCCCUGCAAUAAACAAACAAAUGUCAUCCUGUCCCUCUGGGGACGGUCGGGAAGGCCAGAAUUCCCUGAGAAAUACGGGAAUACGCAUUUCUGACUGUGGCCGAGCACACGAUGCCCGAUGAUGUCUGGAUGUGCGGCCGACCCGGACGGAGGCUGGAGAAAACUCUGCAUAUUUUAAGCGUUAUUCCAGAUCUGACCCAAAAGCCGCGGCUGCGGGGCAAAACCAGCUGAACUUUUCGCCCUUUUGUCCCCGGCGGGGUGUUUAUGCGAGCAGCAGGAGGUGUGAAGGAGGAAACGCCGACGCCAAAGACCACCGUGCUCUCGGAGGCUAAAUCCGUCCCCGCCCAAUCAAAAGGCCCAUUGUGAGUGGAAACCCGGUGGGCCCCGCAGGUUGCUGCUGCGUCACUUAGAGGUUUUAAACCUUUUCAGAAACUGCCCGCUAAUGUCUUUGUUCCGGAAAGACGGCGGAAAAACCUCAGGCCUUAGAAAAAAAAAGCGAGGCUGACGUCAGAGGGGGCCGAGAGCGGCGGUGGCGGCGGCGGCGGCGCUGCAAACGGGACGCGCUCCAUCCCAGACUUUCACUGGUGUCAUGGAAAAGCUCCACGGCGGAGCUGUCAGGCAGCCAAACACUCUGCUUUCUCUCACUGUAAUGAGAAAAUGGCUUGUUGUGAAGUCGGAGCUCCGACCAAACAUCUGCGGUUAAAGCCCCGGCCCCCGGCACCCCCUCCUUUCCCAUCCCGGCGGCCCCGGCCGGGUUCAUCCGGGUCGGUCGUGGCUCGGCCUCGGGUGAGACGCAGCAUCAUCCCACACCUUCAUCUGACGGCGAGUUAAAGCGGCCCCCGCGUUUGUCGACACGAGGAUUAGGGCUUAAUUACAUCUGGGCCGAGGAGCAGCCCGUCGGAGCGGGGGGGU